UACGUAGGGACCAAGCGUUGUUCGGAUUUACUGGGCGUAAAGGGCGCGUAGGCGGCUUGACAAGUCACUUGUGAAAUCUCUGAGCUUAACUCAGAACGGCCAAGUGAUACUGUCGAGCUAGAGUGCAGAAGGGGCAAUCGGAAUUCUUGGUGUAGCGGUGAAAUGCGUAGAUAUCAAGAGGAACACCUGAGGUGAAGACGGGUUGCUGGGCUGACACUGACGCUGAGGCGCGAAAGCCAGGGGAGCAAACGGG
This 253-nucleotide ribosomal RNA is filed under the name uncultured bacterium. Its description in RNAcentral is "partial 16S ribosomal RNA". It matches the Rfam family "Bacterial small subunit ribosomal RNA", at positions 524 to 776 of the family's 1533-position model. The record is from RNAcentral.